CGCCAUGUAAUAAACCAUCAAGCCGCCCCAUCAUAACCCAGCGAGGGUUCCGCGUGCUAUUUAUGCCACACACUCAAGACACCAAUUGUCAAGAAUUUUCCUGCAAACUGUCAUCUGUUACUGAAUGGGUUUGGAGCUGCAGUGAGGGCUUCGAGCGCGGAGAGAGACGCACGAACGCUGCCGAAAAAAGGCUUUUCAGCAAGAAGGGGACAAGAAGAAGAAUCUGACCAGGUAGAGGCGAAUGCGGGGGGAAUAUUAUGGGGGCUUCAUUUUUAUUCGCGUAAUCUUGCUGUUCCUUUGGAAAGGACGCGCGGCUGCGCGGCUUUGCUUGCUAUUAUCAGAGAAGAACAGGACGCUUGAAUUGUGGACAAACAGCAUCAAGCCCUGAAUGUAGUUGGAAGUGGGACGUGUCAUGCCAUCAACUAAAUAUUUGGCUCCACGGGGGGAAGCAGCGCGUCUGAAAUGCAGAUGACGCGCCUGGAGAUCCUCCGCGCGGCGCCGUCCGCACCGGUGGCGCAGCUUUCUUUUUGGUGUGUGAAGAGGAAGUAAGGAGAGAUGGGCAGGCUCGAAAGUUGACAGCUCAGCUGGUCAGGAGCUCGGGCCCAUCAGACACAGACGUCCGGUCCACGUGGAGUCCAGCAAGAACAAGCAGGCUAAACUGCGCUCCCCGGACUUGAGUCAGACUCAGAGACAGUUUGUGUUUUCAUCAUAAACGGGCACAAAGUCAGCGCUUCAGUUUGGAGACACAGCGACCCCACAGCAGCGCGGGGGAAACUGGAAGGAGCGGAUUCCAGCAUGUGGAGUAAAGCUCAAUCCCGCAUCCAGCAUGUGAUUCUCUAGAAAGAGGAAAGGCCUUUAAAUGCGAAAGAGGGAGAAACGGAGGGAUGCCGGGGGGAAGGCGGCUGUGCGCGCCGGACGGAGCGACCCCUCAGCCGGGGCGACCAGGCUGUCAUGAGGGAGGGGCCCUUCAGUAAUUCAGCAAGAAAUAUCACCCCCGACCGGAGCUUUGAUCAACGAAGUGUACCGAGGGAGGAAGAGGAGGAAGAGGAGGAGGGUAAGAGUCCGCUGUUCAGCUCUGCUGCUUGCAUCAUUUCUGCCUUUUUCCCCCCUCCUCUUUUUUUUAGGAAAAGGAAAGUGUAAACAGGUGCUGAUGUUCAUAAUAAGAGCCAUGGAUCAUUCUGACACAUGAACACGUUUCUUCUGUAAUAAAAAAAUCCAACUUCUGCGAAACGUC
Oryzias latipes (Japanese medaka) is the source of this 1234-nucleotide non-coding RNA. The record is from RefSeq and is a predicted model, not a curated record. Lineage: Eukaryota; Metazoa; Chordata; Actinopteri; Beloniformes; Adrianichthyidae.